GCUUAAAUAGUUUAAAUAAAAUGUUACUUUGUGGGAGUAUGUGUUGCUGUUGCUUUGAGUU
RNAcentral lists this transfer RNA (61 nucleotides) under Pseudocellus pearsei. RNAcentral's name for it is "tRNA-His". Lineage: Eukaryota; Metazoa; Arthropoda; Arachnida; Ricinulei; Ricinoididae. The record is from RNAcentral.